Molecule: ribosomal RNA, 1346 nt
Filed under: uncultured bacterium
Lineage: Bacteria
Description: partial 16S ribosomal RNA
Rfam family: Bacterial small subunit ribosomal RNA
Source: RNAcentral
GACGAACGCUUGCGGCGUGCUUAACACAUGCAAGUCGAACGGAAAGGCCCUGCUUUUGUGGGGUGCUCGAGUGGCGAACGGGUGAGUAACACGUGAGUAACCUGCCCUUGACUUUGGGACAACUUCAGGAAACUGGGGCUAAUACCGGAUAGGAGCUCCUGCUGCAUGGUGGGGGUUGGAAAGUUUCGGCGGUUGGGGAUGGACUCGCGGCUUAUCAGCUUGUUGGUGGGGUAGUGGCUUACCAAGGCUUUGACGGGUAGCCGGCCUGAGAGGGUGACCGGCCACAUUGGGACUGAGAUACGGCCCAGACUCCUACGGGAGGCAGCGGUGGGGAAUAUUGCACAAUGGGCGGAAGCCUGAUGCAGCAACGCCGCGUGCGGGAUGACGGCCUUCGGGUUGUAAACCGCUUUCGCCUGUGACGAAGCGUGAGUGACGGUAAUGGGUAAAGAAGCACCGGCUAACUACGUGCCAGCAGCCGCGGUGAUACGUAGGGUGCGAGCGUUGUCCGGAUUUAUUGGGCGUAAAGGGCUCGUAGGUGGUUGAUCGCGUCGGAAGUGUAAUCUUGGGGCUUAACCCUGAGCGUGCUUUCGAUACGGGUUGACUUGAGGAAGGUAGGGGAGAAUGGAAUUCCUGGUGGAGCGGUGGAAUGCGCAGAUAUCAGGAGGAACACCAGUGGCGAAGGCGGUUCUCUGGGCCUUUCCUGACGCUGAGGAGCGAAAGCGUGGGGAGCGAACAGGCUUAGAUACCCUGGUAGUCCACGCUGUAAACGGUGGGUACUAGGUGUGGGGUCCAUUCCACGGGUUCCGUGCCGUAGCUAACGCUUUAAGUACCCCGCCUGGGGAGUACGGCCGCAAGGCUAAAACUCAAAGGAAUUGACGGAGCCCCGCACAAGCGGCGGAGCAUGCGGAUUAAUUCGAUGCAACGCGUAGAACCUUACCUGGGUUUGACAUGGAUCGGGAGUGCUCAGAGAUGGGUGUGCCUCUUUUGGGGUCGGUUCACAGGUGGUGCAUGGCUGUCGUCAGCUCGUGUCGUGAGAUGUUGGGUUAAGUCCCGCAACGAGCGCAACCCUUGUUCACUGUUGCCAGCACGUUAUGGUGGGGACUCAGUGGAGACCGCCGGGGUCAACUCGGAGGAAGGUGGGGAUGACGUCAAGUCAUCAUGCCCCUUAUGUCCAGGGCUUCACGCAUGCUACAAUGGCUGGUACAGAGAGUGGCGAGCCUGUGAGGGUGAACGAAUCUCGGAAAGCCGGUCUCAGUUCGGAUUGGGGUCUGCAACUCGACCUCAUGAAGUCGGAGUCGCUAGUAAUCGCGGAUCAGCAACGCUGCGGUGAAUACGUUCCCGGGGCU